AAGGGAAGAGAUGUAAUAUUCGACGAAACGGUUUUUGUCUUCAACAAACCUGUAACUGAACAGAAAAAUACGACAUUUGAUGUUGGAGAGGAGACACAUCAACCACAGGAUGACACUGAACAGCCACAAGAUGAGCCACAGGAUGAUACUCAACAAUCAGAAGAACGACGUCGUUCUCAGAGAGCACGUGGACCCCCUGUUAGGUUUGGAGUAGACGAGUUUGCCAACACAACAGAAGCUGAUCAUAUGGCAUAUGUGAGUCAGAUCAAGGAACCAGACGCAAGAAAGAGAUUACCUGAUCCGAGCAGACGACCACCCGUUCCCAAGAGGGGUUGCAACAGAUGUGAGUCACCACAGAGUCCCUUUCCAUAUGUGCGAUGCAAGUAUGCUCAGAAGUCAAAGGGACGUCGUCCGCCAAUUUGCACGUUUGAGGACCACUAUCGAAACCAGUGUUUAAGAUUUGAGUACAAUCUACCGAUAGUGUUGAAACUAAUAGUAGAUUGUGAGACUAACGUCAUUGUAAUUACCUAAUUAGAUAGAUCUAGAACAUUCCAUGUAAGUAAUCUAUAGUAAUCUUAGUCAGUAAUUUUUGUAAACACAUGUGCUGUUCUAUCCUAAAAAAGAUACUUGAUUAAACGAAGUUGAUAUAAGGACCAGAUUUCAACAGUAGGGACAAGCUUGUUAGCAGAAAGGCUAUAGAAGCUCUCAUAAAGCAGCUCCAUACGACGUACAUUUACCGCUAUGCUAAAGCUUUCUGUUCGUGUCGUGAUACCUACUGGGUUGAGUCGUUCAACCAUCAACUCCUCACCUACCUGCCCAAGCGCAUUCACUUUUCGACUGAGACGUUCAUAAUGCGAAUGAAACAUGGAGUAUUACUAUGUGUACACUAUGAGCUUCUCGUACACUAAUUUGUAGUAGUAUUUAGAGCUUACAUUUACUUUACAUUUCAGUCUAUACUAUCGAUAAUUGCUUUAUUCUAGAAUGAGAACGUCAAUCGCUCUUACACCAGUGACCUUCGACGACCAGAUCGCCGCACAGCAAUGAAAGCCUUAGUGAAGAAAGGUUGUUGCUUUGCUAUGGGCAAUGUAUGUUGAACAAAACAAAGCUGAUAUGAGAGAAUUGAUCGAAAUCGAAAAAGAUGACGUAGUGGAGGAGCAGAAUGAUGACGUGACCUUAGAAGACGGAGUGAUGCCACCAGAAUAUUUGAGGAUGACAUGGACGACUAACAACAUGGACGACUAACAAUUAAUGAUGACAUGGCCGACUAACAAUUAAUGAGUUUUAUUUACUACGUAAUUGGUGUGUACAGGA
Halichondria panicea is the source of this 1311-nucleotide long non-coding RNA. RefSeq lists it as uncharacterized. NCBI's taxonomy places the organism in Eukaryota, Metazoa, Porifera, Demospongiae, Suberitida, Halichondriidae. The record is from RefSeq and is a predicted model, not a curated record. The transcript has 3 exons.